Long non-coding RNA from Mercenaria mercenaria, 737 nucleotides. RefSeq lists it as uncharacterized. The transcript is spliced from 2 exons. The record is from RefSeq and is a predicted model, not a curated record. Lineage: Eukaryota; Metazoa; Mollusca; Bivalvia; Venerida; Veneridae.
UCAGAAGUAUCAAAUCAUGCAAAGACAUAAAUUUAUUGCGUUUACUGUCACAUCCUUCUUUAAAAAAGUAAAAAACAAAACAAAAACAUAAAAUUGGGAGAAAUGCCAAGCCUGCUAAGAUUAUUUUACAAAAAAUAUACAAGAGAUCCCAACUACGCUAUUUGUGUACGCACCAUUUACUGGUUAACGUAAUAUGGAUGAUACGCAAUUCUUGUGAUAAUAUAAUGAUAAAAUGUACACGGAUACCUAUAUUUAAGUAGCUAAUUAAAGACCUAAAUAAACUUGCAGUUUCUUCAAAUAUGUCAAAAAAACUUAAAAAUACCAUUCGCGUCGAAUUCUGACCAAUUGACUAAACAGAGCUAUCUCUUUCAGAGGUAUACGGUAAAUCGCUCUGUCGCAACUUCCGAGCUAGUGCAUGUCGCGAUAAAAGACCGUCAACAAAGAUUGUGAGAGGUUUCAGCAGUUGAAUGUGUAAGUGCUUAAUGCCUUACUCAUAGUGUCCAUGCAGGGACAAAAAAUGAAUGACUUUAAUUUCAGUGGUGCAGUAAAGGAAUGGCACAGUGCCAAACACAGACACUUAUAUGAAAAAAAAAUGCCUAUGUGUUGUUAGUAUUAGUACAAAAGAAGUGGAAGGACAUAUGUGUUGUUCGAAAAUACUUAUAAAAGAAGUGGACAUCUGUGUAGUGUAGUUGAUUGAUGGUUAUAUGAUUAUGUGAAAAUGUAGAAGUAAUGAAAUA